CGAUUAGAGUUUGAUCCUGGCUCAGGACGAACGCUGGCGGCGUGCCUAACACAUGCAAGUCGAACGAGAAUCAACUUAUGAAGUUUUCGGAUGGAAUGAGUUGAGGAAAGUGGCGAACGGGUGAGUAACGCGUGAGCAAUCUACCUUGUACUGGGGGAUAACGUCGGGAAACCGGCGCUAAUACCGCAUAAUACUAUAAGUACGCAUGUACUGAUAGUCAAAACUCCGGUGGUACAAGAUGAGCUCGCGUCCAAUUAGCUUGUUGGUGAGGUAACGGCUCACCAAGGCGACGAUCAGUAGCCGGCCUGAGAGGGCGAACGGCCACACUGGAACUGAGACACGGUCCAGACUCCUACGGGAGGCAGCAGUGGGGAAUUUUGCGCAAUGGGCGGAAGCCUGACGCAGCAACGCCGCGUGGAGGAUGAAGGCCUUCGGGUCGUAAACUCCUGUCAGUGGGGACGAAUGCCUCGCAAGAGGUUUGACUGUACCCGUUGAGGAAGCCACGGCUAACUCCGUGCCAGCAGCCGCGGUAAUACGGAGGUGGCAAGCGUUGUUCGGAAUUACUGGGCGUAAAGGGCGCGUAGGCGGCUAGGCAAGUCAGGUGUGAAAGCCCCGGGCUUAACUCGGGAAUUGCACCUGAAACUGCCUUGCUUGAGUCCUGGAGGGGGUAGCGGAAUUCCCAGUGUAGCGGUGAAAUGCGUAGAUAUUGGGAGGAACACCUGCGGCGAAGGCGGCUACCUGGACAGUGACUGACGCUGAGGCG
This 763-nucleotide ribosomal RNA is filed under the name uncultured bacterium. Its description in RNAcentral is "bacterial SSU rRNA". It matches the Rfam family "Bacterial small subunit ribosomal RNA", at positions 1 to 753 of the family's 1533-position model. The record is from RNAcentral.